AACGAACGCUGGCGGCAUGCCUAACACAUGCAAGUCGAACGAGACCUUCGGGUCUAGUGGCGCAUGGGUGCGUAACGCGUGGGAACCUGCCCUUAGGUUCGGAAUAACUCCCCGAAAGGGGUGCUAAUACCGGAUAAUGUCCUCGGACCAAAGAUUGAUCGCCUUGGGGUGGGCACGCGUUGGAUUAGCUAGUUGGUAGGGUAAAAGCCUACCAAGGCGGCGAUCCAUAGCUGGUCUGAGGGGAUGAUCAGCCACACUGGGACUGGGAGACGUCCCAAAUUCUGGCGAGAGGGAGCAAUCGUGAUUCAGGGACACUGGGUGAGUGCAGGAGCCAUCAAGGCCGUGAAAGUGUUGAGGGGGGAAGGAUAGUAAAGCUCUUAUUACCGGGAUGAUAAGAACGGAACCAAAGGAAUAAGCCCCGGCUAACUCCUU
This 432-nucleotide ribosomal RNA is filed under the name uncultured bacterium. RNAcentral describes it as "partial 16S ribosomal RNA". It matches the Rfam family "Bacterial small subunit ribosomal RNA", at positions 29 to 506 of the family's 1533-position model. The record is from RNAcentral.